This 2900-nucleotide ribosomal RNA is filed under the name Klebsiella pneumoniae CHS 74. Its description in RNAcentral is "bacterial LSU rRNA". It matches the Rfam family "Bacterial large subunit ribosomal RNA". The record is from RNAcentral. Lineage: Bacteria; Pseudomonadati; Pseudomonadota; Gammaproteobacteria; Enterobacterales; Enterobacteriaceae.
UUAAGCGACUAAGCGUACACGGUGGAUGCCCUGGCAGUCAGAGGCGAUGAAGGACGUGCUAAUCUGCGAAAAGCGUCGGUAAGGUGAUAUGAACCGUUAUAACCGGCGAUGUCCGAAUGGGGAAACCCAGUGUGAUUCGUCACACUAUCGUUAACUGAAUACAUAGGUUAACGAGGCGAACCGGGGGAACUGAAACAUCUAAGUACCCCGAGGAAAAGAAAUCAACCGAGAUUCCCCCAGUAGCGGCGAGCGAACGGGGAGCAGCCCAGAGUCUGAAUCAGCUUGUGUGUUAGUGGAACGGUCUGGAAAGUCCGACGGUACAGGGUGAUAGUCCCGUACACCAAAAUGCACAGGCUGUGAACUCGAAGAGUAGGGCGGGACACGUGGUAUCCUGUCUGAAUAUGGGGGGACCAUCCUCCAAGGCUAAAUACUCCUGACUGACCGAUAGUGAACCAGUACCGUGAGGGAAAGGCGAAAAGAACCCCGGCGAGGGGAGUGAAAAAGAACCUGAAACCGUGUACGUACAAGCAGUGGGAGCACCUUCGGGUGUGACUGCGUACCUUUUGUAUAAUGGGUCAGCGACUUAUAUUCUGUAGCAAGGUUAACCGUAUAGGGGAGCCGCAGGGAAACCGAGUCUUAACUGGGCGUUAAGUUGCAGGGUAUAGACCCGAAACCCGGUGAUCUAGCCAUGGGCAGGUUGAAGGUUGGGUAACACUAACUGGAGGACCGAACCGACUAAUGUUGAAAAAUUAGCGGAUGACUUGUGGCUGGGGGUGAAAGGCCAAUCAAACCGGGAGAUAGCUGGUUCUCCCCGAAAGCUAUUUAGGUAGCGCCUCGUGAACUCAUCUUCGGGGGUAGAGCACUGUUUCGGCUAGGGGGUCAUCCCGACUUACCAACCCGAUGCAAACUACGAAUACCGAAGAAUGUUAUCACGGGAGACACACGGCGGGUGCUAACGUCCGUCGUGAAGAGGGAAACAACCCAGACCGCCAGCUAAGGUCCCAAAGUCAUGGUUAAGUGGGAAACGAUGUGGGAAGGCACAGACAGCCAGGAUGUUGGCUUAGAAGCAGCCAUCAUUUAAAGAAAGCGUAAUAGCUCACUGGUCGAGUCGGCCUGCGCGGAAGAUGUAACGGGGCUAAACCAUGCACCGAAGCUGCGGCAGCGACACUAUGUGUUGUUGGGUAGGGGAGCGUUCUGUAAGCCUGCGAAGGUGUGCUGUGAGGCAUGCUGGAGGUAUCAGAAGUGCGAAUGCUGACAUAAGUAACGAUAAAGCGGGUGAAAAGCCCGCUCGCCGGAAGACCAAGGGUUCCUGUCCAACGUUAAUCGGGGCAGGGUGAGUCGACCCCUAAGGCGAGGCCGAAAGGCGUAGUCGAUGGGAAACAGGUUAAUAUUCCUGUACUUGGUGUUACUGCGAAGGGGGGACGGAGAAGGCUAUGUUAGCCGGGCGACGGUUGUCCCGGUUUAAGCAUGUAGGCUGGUUAUCCAGGCAAAUCCGGAUAAUCAAGGCUGAGGUGUGAUGACGAGGCACUACGGUGCUGAAGUAACAAAUGCCCUGCUUCCAGGAAAAGCCUCUAAGCAUCAGGUAACAUCAAAUCGUACCCCAAACCGACACAGGUGGUCAGGUAGAGAAUACCAAGGCGCUUGAGAGAACUCGGGUGAAGGAACUAGGCAAAAUGGUGCCGUAACUUCGGGAGAAGGCACGCUGGUGUGUAGGUGAAGUCCCUGCGGAUGGAGCUGAGACCAGUCGAAGAUACCAGCUGGCUGCAACUGUUUAUUAAAAACACAGCACUGUGCAAACACGAAAGUGGACGUAUACGGUGUGACGCCUGCCCGGUGCCGGAAGGUUAAUUGAUGGGGUUAUCCGUAAGGAGAAGCUCUUGAUCGAAGCCCCGGUAAACGGCGGCCGUAACUAUAACGGUCCUAAGGUAGCGAAAUUCCUUGUCGGGUAAGUUCCGACCUGCACGAAUGGCGUAAUGAUGGCCAGGCUGUCUCCACCCGAGACUCAGUGAAAUUGAACUCGCUGUGAAGAUGCAGUGUACCCGCGGCAAGACGGAAAGACCCCGUGAACCUUUACUAUAGCUUGACACUGAACAUUGAGCCUUGAUGUGUAGGAUAGGUGGGAGGCUUUGAAGCGUGGACGCCAGUCUGCGUGGAGCCAACCUUGAAAUACCACCCUUUAAUGUUUGAUGUUCUAACGUUGGCCCCUUACCGGGGUUGCGGACAGUGUCUGGUGGGUAGUUUGACUGGGGCGGUCUCCUCCCAAAGCGUAACGGAGGAGCACGAAGGUUAGCUAAUCCUGGUCGGACAUCAGGAGGUUAGUGCAAUGGCAUAAGCUAGCUUGACUGCGAGCGUGACGGCGCGAGCAGGUGCGAAAGCAGGUCAUAGUGAUCCGGUGGUUCUGAAUGGAAGGGCCAUCGCUCAACGGAUAAAAGGUACUCCGGGGAUAACAGGCUGAUACCGCCCAAGAGUUCAUAUCGACGGCGGUGUUUGGCACCUCGAUGUCGGCUCAUCACAUCCUGGGGCUGAAGUAGGUCCCAAGGGUAUGGCUGUUCGCCAUUUAAAGUGGUACGCGAGCUGGGUUUAGAACGUCGUGAGACAGUUCGGUCCCUAUCUGCCGUGGGCGCUGGAGAAUUGAGGGGGGCUGCUCCUAGUACGAGAGGACCGGAGUGGACGCAUCACUGGUGUUCGGGUUGUCAUGCCAAUGGCACUGCCCGGUAGCUAAAUGCGGAAGAGAUAAGUGCUGAAAGCAUCUAAGCACGAAACUUGCCCCGAGAUGAGUUCUCCCUGAGACUAUAAGUCUCCUGAAGGAACGUUAAAGACGAUGACGUUGAUAGGCCGGGUGUGUAAGCGCAGCGAUGCGUUGAGCUAACCGGUACUAAUGAACCGUGAGGCUUAACCUU